RNAcentral lists this non-coding RNA (100 nucleotides) under unclassified sequences. Its description in RNAcentral is "L4-Archaeoglobi ribosomal protein leader". It matches the Rfam family "L4-Archaeoglobi ribosomal protein leades". The record is from RNAcentral.
CUGACGGGCGCGUACGGGUCAAUUGCGGCUUGACAACACCCGAUCUCGCUUGUCGUCCCUCCGAAAAUGGAGUCGACGAGGGGGAGCGCGUAACAGUCAG